UUAGUGGCGGACGGGUGAGUAACGCGUGGGCAACCUGCCUUACACAGGGGGAUAACACUUAGAAAUAGGUGCUAAAACCGCAUAAGCGCACAGCUUCGCAUGAAGCGGUGUGAAAAACUCCGGUGGUGUAAGAUGGACCCGCGUCUGAUUAGCUUGUUGGCGGGGUAACGGCCCACCAAGGCGACGAUCGGUAGCCGGCCUGAGAGGGCGGACGGCCACAUUGGGACUGAGACACGGCCCAGACUCCUACGGAAGGCAGCAG
RNAcentral lists this ribosomal RNA (262 nucleotides) under uncultured bacterium. Its description in RNAcentral is "partial 16S ribosomal RNA". It matches the Rfam family "Bacterial small subunit ribosomal RNA", at positions 92 to 354 of the family's 1533-position model. The record is from RNAcentral.